RNAcentral lists this unclassified non-coding RNA (1079 nucleotides) under Hevea brasiliensis (rubber tree). Lineage: Eukaryota; Viridiplantae; Streptophyta; Magnoliopsida; Malpighiales; Euphorbiaceae. The record is from RNAcentral.
GUGAUUUUAUCCCAAUUUUGAGGCCUUUCUUGAGGGGUUACUUGAAGAUUUGUAAGGAGGUUAAGGAGAAGAGGUUGAAACUAUUCAAAGACUACUUUGUUGAUGAAAGAAAGAAGCUUGCAAAUACCAAGAGUAUGGACAGCAAUGCUCUAAAAUGUGCAAUUGAUCACAUUCUUGAAGCUCAACAGAAGGGAGAGAUCAACGAGGAUAACGUUCUUUACAUCGUUGAGAACAUUAAUGUUGCUGCAAUCGAAACAACAUUGUGGUCAAUUGAGUGGGGUAUCGCGGAACUAGUCAACCACCCUCACAUCCAAAAGAAACUCCGAGACGAGAUUGAUACAGUUCUUGGACCAGGAGUGCAAGUGAGUGAGCCAGACAUGCCCAAGCUUCCAUACCUUCAGGCUGUGAUCAAGGAGACUCUUAGACUCCGGAUGGCAAUUCCUCUUUUAGUCCCACACAUGAACCUUCAUGAUGCAAAGCUUGCUGGAUACGAUAUUCCAGCUGAGAGCAAAAUCUUAGUUAACGCUUGGUGGCUAGCUAACAACCCCGCCCACUGGAAGAAACCUGAAGAGUUCAGACCUGAGAGGUUCUUGGAAGAGGAGAAACACGUUGAAGCCAAUGGCAACGACUUCAGAUUUCUUCCUUUCGGUGUUGGCAGGAGGAGUUGCCCCGGAAUUAUCCUUGCAUUGCCAAUUCUUGGCAUCACCAUUGGACGUUUGGUGCAGAACUUUGAGAUGUUGCCUCCUCCAGGGCAGUCGAAGCUCGACACCUCGGAGAAAGGUGGACAGUUCAGUCUCCACAUUUUGAAGCAUUCCACCAUUGUGAUGAAACCAAGAUCAUUCUAAACUUUGUAAUACUAUCAGUUGAGGGGUUCUAAGAAAACUGAUAGAAGUAUGGUUGUUAUUUUGAUUGAAAAGGGAAAACCUUGUAAGUUUUAUAGAAAAAAAACAUUUUUCUUCUUGGACUCAAAUUCAUUACAAGAUUUACAUUUAUCUGAAAAUAAUGAUGUUCUCUUGAUGUACAAUAGUUGAACAUGGAUUUUCCUGUAAGAUCAUUAUUGAAGAAUUAAUUGCAUUGUU